UGACAGAGGGUGCGAGCGUUGUCCGGAAAUCACUGGGCGUAAAGGGCGCGUAGGCGGUCUCUUAAAGCGUGUGGUGAAAGCCCGGGGCUCAACUCCGGGUCGGCCGUGCGAACUGGGGGACUGGAGCGUAUCAGAGGCGGGCGGAAUUCCGGGUGUAGCGGUGGAAUGCGUAGAGAUCCGGAAGAACACCGGUGGCGAAGGCGGCCCGCUGGGAUACUUGCUGACGCUGAGGCGCCGACAGCGUGGGGAGCAAACAGG
Molecule: ribosomal RNA, 258 nt
Filed under: uncultured bacterium
Lineage: Bacteria
Description: partial 16S ribosomal RNA
Rfam family: Bacterial small subunit ribosomal RNA
Source: RNAcentral